GGGAGGGGGGGCUAGCGUUGUUCGGAAUGACUGGGCGUAAAGGGCGCGUAGGGCGGUUUUUAAGUGAGGCGUGAAAGCCCUGGGGCUUAACCCAGGAGGUGCGUUUCAUACUGGAAAACUUGAGUACGAGAGAGGAAAGUGGAAUUCCUAGUGUAGAGGUGAAAUUCGUAGAUAUUAGGAAGAACACCAGUGGCGAAGGCGACUUUCUGGCUCGUAACUGACGCUGAGGCGCGAAAGCGUGGGGAGCAAACAGGAUUAGAUACCCUGGUAGUCCACGCCGUAAACGAUGAGUGCUAGACGUUGGAGAGCAAUCUUCAGUGUCGCAGCUAACGCAUUAAGCACUCCGCCUGGGGAGUACGGUCGCAAAGAUUA
RNAcentral lists this ribosomal RNA (372 nucleotides) under uncultured organism. RNAcentral describes it as "partial 16S ribosomal RNA". It matches the Rfam family "Bacterial small subunit ribosomal RNA", at positions 524 to 896 of the family's 1533-position model. The record is from RNAcentral.